GAUGAACGCUGGCGGCGUGCCUAAUACAUGCAAGUCGAGCGAACGGACGAGAAGCUUGCUUCUCUGAUGUUAGCGGCGGACGGGUGAGUAACACGUGGAUAACCUACCUAUAAGACUGGGAUAACUUCGGGAAACCGGAGCUAAUACCGUAUAAUAUUUUGAACCGCAUGGUUCAAAAGUGAAAGACGGUCUUGCUGUCACUUAUAGAUGGAUCCGCGCUGCAUUAGCUAGUUGGUAAGGUAACGGCUUACCAAGGCAACGAUGCAUAGCCGACCUGAGAGGGUGAUCGGCCACACUGGAACUGAGACACGAUCCAGACUCCUACGGGAGGCAGCAGUAGGGAAUCUUCCGCAAUGGGCGAAAGCCUGACGGAGCAACGCCGCGUGAGUGAUGAAGGUCUUCGGAUCGUAAAACUCUGUUAUUAGGGAAGAACAUAUGUGUAAGUAACUGUGCACAUCUUGACGGUACCUGAUCAGAAAGCCACGGCUAACUACGUG
Molecule: ribosomal RNA, 497 nt
Filed under: uncultured bacterium
Lineage: Bacteria
Description: partial 16S ribosomal RNA
Rfam family: Bacterial small subunit ribosomal RNA
Source: RNAcentral